GAGUUGCAAAGACGGGCUAGGCAUCUUGAGAAAAAAUUCCUGGAAAACCCAGACUUAUCUCAGACAGAGGAGAAACUUCGUGGAGCAGUGCUACAUGCACUACGUAAAACUACCUACCAUUGGCAAGAACUGAGCUACACUGAGGGACUGAGCCUGGUGUAUAUGGCAGCAAGACUGGAUGGUGGCUUUGCAGCAGUCUCCAGAGCAUUCCAUGAGAUCCGGGCUCGAAAUCCAGCAUUUCAGCCACAGACUUUGAUGGACUUUGGCUCAGGUACUGGUUCUGUCACCUGGGCUGCUCACAGUAUUUGGGGCCAGAGCCUACGUGAAUAUAUGUGUGUGGACAGAUCAGCUGCCAUGUUGGUUUUGGCAGAAAAACUACUGAAAGGUGGUUCAGAAUCUGGGGAGCCUUAUAUUCCAGGUGUCUUUUUCAGACAGUUUCUACCUGUAUCACCCAAGGUGCAGUUUGAUGUAGUAGUGUCAGCCUUUUCCUUAAGUGAACUGCCCAGCAAGGCUGACCGCACUGAGGUAGUUCAAACCUUAUGGCGUAAGACAGGUCAUUUCCUGGUGAGUUAAAAUUCCUUGUUCUCCUUAAGUCUUAAAGCAGCUUCAUGGAUUUCAUGCCUUUGCUUCUCUCAUUGUCUUUAUUCUUCACCAUUUUUCUCCUUUAUGGAUUUCUUUAUCCCUCUUUGAGGGUCUCCAUCCUGAUUAUAUAAUGCCUAUUUCUUUUUAGGACUCCUCCCUCUAUGAUUGCUCUUACAGAGCUACUGAUAUUUACACUUUCAUGUAAUUUAAGUCUUCUGCGUAUUUUCCCCUUUUGUGAGCAGGUACUGGUGGAGAAUGGAACAAAAGCUGGGCACAGCCUUCU
Molecule: small RNA, 865 nt
Filed under: Pongo abelii (Sumatran orangutan)
Lineage: Eukaryota; Metazoa; Chordata; Mammalia; Primates; Hominidae
Description: retained intron
Source: RNAcentral